GUGAUGCUCAACUGCUUAAGAUAUACUAUUCGAUUAACUGAAGCUCAAAUUCUAAUCGCAAUAAGAAGAUAUACAAACCCAGAAUACUCCAUGUGGCGUCAAGAUGUUGCAGAAGAUGUGCUUAAGGCAGUUUUCGCGGAUGGGAAUCAAAAAUCCAUUCCUGGAAUUGGAACCUAUGUGGGAAAUGAACCAAUCGCAAUGGCUAGCACAGUGCCGACCGUUAAGCUGAACAGUGGCCAUAGUAUUCCCAUACUUGGUCUUGGAACCUGGAAUAGUCCUCCUGGUCAAGUGGCUGAGGCGGUUAAGACGGCCAUUGAUGUUGGAUAUAGGCACAUUGAUUGCGCCUUUGUCUAUCAAAAUGAAGCUGAAGUCGGUGCUGGCAUCGAGGCCAAGAUCAAAGAAGGCGUGGUAAAGCGCGAGGAUCUGUUCAUUACAAGCAAGUUGUGGAACACCUUCCAUCGUCCAGAUGUGGUCAAAGCUGCUUGUCAGAAUACUUUGAAUCUGUUGAAGCUGAAAUAUCUGGAUCUGUACUUGAUCCACUGGCCCAUGGGUUAUAAGGAGGGCUCCGAACUGUUCCCAGUUGAUGCAAAUGGCAAAACUUUGUACUCGCCCGACGAUUACGUUGACACCUGGAAGGCCAUGGAGAAGCUGGUUGAGGAGGGUCUUGUUAAAUCCAUUGGCGUAUCGAAUUUCAAUAAAAAGCAAAUCGAACGAGUUUUGGCUGUUGCCAAAAUUCCCCCAGCUACAAAUCAGAUCGAAUGCCAUCCCUAUUUGACGCAGAAGAAACUUUCUGAAUUCUGCAAACAGAAUAACAUUACCAUUACCGCAUACAGCCCACUGGGCAGCCCAAAUCGCCCAUGGGCCAAGGAAGGUGAUCCGGUUAUUCUAGAAGAGAAAAAGAUCAAGGAAAUUGCUGCUGCCAAAAACAAGACACCCGGACAGAUUUUGAUACGCUAUCAGAUUCAACGGAAUCACAUUGUUAUACCCAAGUCGGUAACUAAGGAGCGUAUUGAAUCCAAUUUCAAAGUAUUUGAUUUCGAACUCACGCCCCAAGAGAUCGAAAUAAUUGAAAGCUUCGAAUGCAAUGGACGUCUGGUACCGCUGCUUAAGGAUGCUGGCGAUCAUGAACAUUAUCCAUUUAGCGAUGAAUAUUAAAUCAAAUCGCAGAGUUCUUUCAAUCUAUAUAAAUGAGAGGAAUAUCUGAAAUAUGAAUAAUCACAUAAUCAAAUAGUUAUGUAAAUAUUUCUGGCAAGAACUAACAACUGAGCAAUUCGAGAGGCAUAUACUCAACACGGUCAUCCACACCAUCCAUUUGAGAAGGAUGAAUACUAAUUCGGAAUGAGAUGUUUCAUGUCACUCUUGGAUAUUUUUAAACCCUAUAUAUAUAUAUCUAU
RNAcentral lists this unclassified non-coding RNA (1394 nucleotides) under Drosophila mojavensis. Its description in RNAcentral is "GI11589". Lineage: Eukaryota; Metazoa; Arthropoda; Insecta; Diptera; Drosophilidae. The record is from RNAcentral.